Molecule: ribosomal RNA, 465 nt
Filed under: Vreelandella stevensii
Lineage: Bacteria; Pseudomonadati; Pseudomonadota; Gammaproteobacteria; Oceanospirillales; Halomonadaceae
Description: partial 16S ribosomal RNA
Rfam family: Bacterial small subunit ribosomal RNA
Source: RNAcentral
CCUACGGGAGGCAGCAGUGGGGAAUAUUGGACAAUGGGGGCAACCCUGAUCCAGCCAUGCCGCGUGUGUGAAGAAGGCCCUCGGGUUGUAAAGCACUUUCAGUGAGGAAGAACGCCUGGUGGUUAAUACCCAUCAGGAAAGACAUCACUCACAGAAGAAGCACCGGCUAACUCCGUGCCAGCAGCCGCGGUAAUACGGAGGGUGCGAGCGUUAAUCGGAAUUACUGGGCGUAAAGCGCGCGUAGGUGGCUUGAUAAGCCGGUUGUGAAAGCCCCGGGCUCAACCUGGGAACGGCAUCCGGAACUGUCAAGCUAGAGUGCAGGCGAGGAAGGUAGAAUUCCCGGUGUAGCGGUGAAAUGCGUAGAGAUCGGGAGGAAUACCAGAGGCGAAGGCGGCCUUCUGGACUGACACUGACACUGAGGUGCGACAGCGUGGGUAGCAAACAGGAUUAGAUACCCGGGUAGUC